This 180-nucleotide unclassified non-coding RNA is filed under the name uncultured Xylaria. Its description in RNAcentral is "sequence contains ITS1". Lineage: Eukaryota; Fungi; Ascomycota; Sordariomycetes; Xylariales; Xylariaceae. The record is from RNAcentral.
AAGAGUUAUUAUAAACUCCCAAACCCAUGUGAACAUACCUAUCGUUGCUUCGGCAGGUCGCGUCUUACCCUGUAGGCUCCUACCCUGGAGCGUCUUACCCGGUAGAUGCGGGUAAGCCUGCCGGUGGCCCACGAAACUCUGUUUAAUAUUGAAACUCUGAAUCUAUAACUAAAUAAGUUA